AUUGAACGCUGGCGGCAUGCUUUACACAUGCAAGUCGAACGGUAACAGGCCUUCGGGUGCUGACGAGUGGCGAACGGGUGAGUAAUGCAUCGGAACGUACCCAGAGGUGGGGGAUAACGCAGCGAAAGCUGUGCUAAUACCGAAUGUGAUCUGAGGAUGAAAGCGGGGGACCGAGCAGCAAUGUUUGGCCUCGCGCCUUUGGAGCGGCCGAUGUCGGAUUAGCUAGUUGGUGGGGUAAAGGCCUACCAAGGCGACGAUCCGUAGCUGGUCUGAGAGGACGACCAGCCACACUGGGACUGAGACACGGCCCAGACUCCUACGGGAGGCAGCAGUGGGGAAUUUUGGACAAUGGGCGCAAGCCUGAUCCAGCAAUGCCGCGUGCGGGAAGAAGGCCUUCGGGUUGUAAACCGCUUUUGGCAGGAACGAAACGGUGUCCGCUAAUACCGGGCGCUAAUGACGGUACCUGCAGAAUAAGCACCGGCUAACUACGUG
RNAcentral lists this ribosomal RNA (492 nucleotides) under uncultured bacterium. RNAcentral's name for it is "partial 16S ribosomal RNA". It matches the Rfam family "Bacterial small subunit ribosomal RNA", at positions 29 to 507 of the family's 1533-position model. The record is from RNAcentral.